Molecule: ribosomal RNA, 449 nt
Filed under: uncultured bacterium
Lineage: Bacteria
Description: partial 16S ribosomal RNA
Rfam family: Bacterial small subunit ribosomal RNA
Source: RNAcentral
GUAGGGAAUCUUCCGCAAUGGACGCAAGUCUGACGGAGCAACGCCGCGUGAGUGACGAAGGUUUUCGGAUCGUAAAACUCUGUUGUGAGGGAAGAACACGUACCAACUAACUAUUGGUACCUUGACGGUACCUCACCAGAAAGCCACGGCUAACUACGUGCCAGCAGCCGCGGUAAUACGUAGGUGGCAAGCGUUGUCCGGAAUUAUUGGGCGUAAAGCGCGCGCAGGCGGUUCCUUAAGUCUGAUGUGAAAGCCCACGGCUCAACCGUGGAGGGUCAUUGGAAACUGGGGAACUUGAGUGCAGAAGAGGAAAGUGGAAUUCCACGUGUAGCGGUGAAAUGCGUAGAGAUGUGGAGGAACACCAGUGGCGAAGGCGACUUUCUGGUCUGUAACUGACGCUGAGGCGCGAAAGCGUGGGGAGCAAACAGGAUUAGAUACCCUAGUAGUCC